AACACAUGAUUAUAAGCAUAUUCAAAAAGUAUUAUAAUAGGUAAUAAAAAAAAAGUGGUAAAGUAUAUGAAAAGUUAAAAUAAUGGGCGGGCUUCGAAUUAAUAAGCAACAAACUCUUGCUCAGCUAUUUGACCCUAACCCUUUCUUUCUUUUAUAAUUCCUUCUGCCUCUCACAGUAACAGCCGCCUCCAAACCCCUCCAUUUUUUGAAACUCUGAAGCUCUCACAAGAUCACAAGUCCCAUUCGGCAGCCACCGUCCUAUCUCUCACUCCCCCCUUCUCUCUCUCUCUCUUUGUCUCUCACUACACAUAGGGACACGGUAACUAAAAUGUCCUACUUUCUCUUGAGUAUUGAAAUACUUUUUUAUUUUUGAUUUCUUGAAGGAUGAUAAACAUAAAGCAGAAAUUUCUUCCUCUUCCUCAAAUAUAGUUCUCAUUUUACUAUAUUAUUGAUUAUUAAUUUAUGGUUUAGGGCUCUGAAGCUUGAAGAUGAUAUAUACAGCCAUAGAGACAUUCUACAUCAAAGGUAAUCAACUCCAAAAUUCUCCAUCCAGAAAAGAUAAAAUUGAUGAACCCACCCAAACCACGUUUUGAAUUUGUGGCUGCAAUUUAGUUCAAGAAAGUGGAAUUUUGCAGCGAUUGUAUGCUAUUAUUCUCUUUAAUUUUUUUUCUUUUUUAAUGUUAUGAAUUCAAUUUUUUUCACUGCUAUUAUAAUUUUUUCAGACCCCAUGUUGUAAUGGCGACCACCCAAGUUUGUUCCAUCAUUUUUAUUACAAUAAGUUUUUUCCUCGCUUCAGUGUCAAGAAUUAUGAACCAAGAUAACCAGCACCUCCAAAAUUUCUCCUCUAAUUGAAGCAGCAGUGACCAUUAGAGUGUUCCUAUACAAACUGGGCAAACACCACCCCUUUUGCAGUAUUUUGGUACUCUCUUGACCAGAGGAAAGCUUAAUGCUUUCGAGUCAUUGGAACUAUCACGUCUUGUUGUGAACCAGAACAAGAAUAAUUUGUUGGAAAAUUGGCUAGCAAAAGACAAAUUAGAAUGCAACGAGGAGCUAGGAGAUCUUGUGAAGGUUAGCAUUAUGGAAUUUGUUAAUUACACAGUCCUGUGUUUCUUUUCUCUUGGCAAUAAUUUAGUUGUUUACUUCAAAUAAUGCCUGUGUCAUGUUGUUUAUGGUAUAUCUUAGUUUCUUUUUAAUUAUUUAAUUAUUUAGGUUUCUUCCUCCAGUAAUGGAUGUGAUAUUCUAACUAGUCUAGUAUUGGUUAUCUGAAAAUCUCAUCUUCUCAAGCUUCAGUUUUUUUUUUUAAUUCAUUUUGGUAUCUUAGUAGUGAUUUAAUUUCUUCUAUGUUUUUUGGUAUCUGAAAAGAAAGUGCAUAUGAAAAUGUUGCAUACCAGGUGUUUGAUAAUAAUUCUGAAAGAAUCUAAAUUAUCAUUUGGAUUUGGG
This is a long non-coding RNA of Humulus lupulus (European hop), 1440 nucleotides long. RefSeq lists it as uncharacterized. Lineage: Eukaryota; Viridiplantae; Streptophyta; Magnoliopsida; Rosales; Cannabaceae. The record is from RefSeq and is a predicted model, not a curated record. The transcript has 3 exons.